UUGGAGGGCAAGUCUGGUGCCAGCAGCCGCGGUAAUUCCAGCUCCAAUAGCGUAUAUUAAAGUUGUUGCAGUUAAAAAGCUCGUAGUUGAAUUUCGGGGUUAGUAGGCUGGCCAUGCCACCGGUAUGUACUGGUCUUUCUGAUUCCUCCUUCCUGAUGAACUGUAAUGCCAUUAAUUUGGUGUUGCAGGGAAUCUGGACUGUUACUUUGAAAAAAUUAGAGUGUUUAAAGCAGGCUAACGCUUGAAUACAUUAGCAUGGAAUAAUGAAAUAGGAAGUUCGAUCCUAUUUUGUUGGUUUCUAGGAUUGACGUAAUGAUUAAUAGGGAUAGUUGGGGGCAUUAGUAUUCAAUUGUCAGAGGUGAAAUUCUUGGAUUUAUUGAAGACUAACUACUGCGAAAGCAUUUGCCAAGGAUGUUUUCAUUAAUCAAGAACGAAAGUUAGGGGAUCGAAGACGAUCAGAUACCGUCGUAGUCUUAACCAUAAACUAUGCCGACUAGGGAUCGGAUGAUGUUAAUUUUUUAAUGACUCAUUCGGCGCCUUACGGGAAAC
RNAcentral lists this ribosomal RNA (549 nucleotides) under uncultured Glomeromycotina. Its description in RNAcentral is "SSU rRNA". It matches the Rfam family "Eukaryotic small subunit ribosomal RNA", at positions 548 to 1098 of the family's 1831-position model. Lineage: Eukaryota; Fungi; Glomeromycota. The record is from RNAcentral.